AAACUGCAGUUUGCAUAUUUUUUUAUUCUUUAGCUCUCGAAAACCUCUCACAACGCACCUUUGAUCAUUUUAACACCUUCGGACUUUUCGAAGUGUACCAUCCUCGCACUUUGGUCAAUUUGACUAAAGUUCGAUAUUUAUUUUUCGAAUUUUCAGUAUAUUACAUUCUCCACCCCUUAAAAUAAUUUCGUCCGUAAAAUUACGCAUACCUUAACUCGUCGACUCAAAUAAGUGCGGAUACUCUCUCCACAUGGUCACCUC
RNAcentral lists this long non-coding RNA (261 nucleotides) under Ananas comosus (pineapple). RNAcentral's name for it is "long non-coding RNA (ACOM_LNC015012)". The record is from RNAcentral. Lineage: Eukaryota; Viridiplantae; Streptophyta; Magnoliopsida; Poales; Bromeliaceae.